UACGUAGGGGGCUAGCGUUGUCCGGAUUUAUUGGGCGUAAAGAGCGUGUAGGCGGCCAGGUAGGUCUGCUGUGAAAACUCGAGGCUCAACCUCGAGACGUCGGCGGAAACCAUCUGGCUAGAGUCCGGAAGAGGAGAGUGGAAUUCCUGGUGUAGCGGUGAAAUGCGUAGAGAUCGGCAGGAACACCCAGGGGGAAACCAGUCGACUGGGCAGCACCUGACGCUGAGGUGCGAGAGCGUGGGGAGCGAACCGG
This 253-nucleotide ribosomal RNA is filed under the name uncultured bacterium. RNAcentral describes it as "partial 16S ribosomal RNA". It matches the Rfam family "Bacterial small subunit ribosomal RNA", at positions 524 to 776 of the family's 1533-position model. The record is from RNAcentral.